CUCAUAGCGUAUAUUUAAGUUGUUGCAGUUAAAAAGCUCGUAGUUGGAUUUCGGGCCCAGGCGGCCGGUCCGCCGUUUCGGUGUGCACUGGUCGGCUCGGUCUUUCUGCCGGGGACGCGCUCCGUCUUGACUGCCGGACGCGGAGUCGGCGACGUUACUUUGAAAAAAUUAGAGUGUUCAAAGCAGGCUUACGCUCUGAAUACUAUAGCAUGGAAUAACACGAUAGGACUCCGAGCCUAUUUUGUUGGUCUUCGGGACCGGAGUAAUGAUUAAGAGGGACAGUUGGGGGCAUUCGUAUUACGGUGUCAGAGGUGAAAUUCUUGGAUUUCCGUAAGACGAACUUCUGCGAAAGCAUUUGCCAAGGAUGUUUUCAUUAAUCAAGAACGAAAGUUGGGGGCUCGAAGAUGAUCAGAUACCGUCGUAGUCUCAACCAUAAACGAUGCCGACUAGGGAUUGGAGGAUGUUAAUUCGAUGACUUCUCCAGCACCUUAAGAGAAAUCAAAGUUUUUGGGUUCCGGGGGGAGUAUGGUCGCAAGGCUGAAACUUAAAGGAAUUGACGGAAGGGCACCACCAGGCGUGGAGCCUGCGGCUUAAUUUGACUCAACACGGGGAAACUUACCAGGUCCAGACAUAGUAAGGAU
Molecule: ribosomal RNA, 641 nt
Filed under: uncultured eukaryote
Lineage: Eukaryota
Description: SSU rRNA
Rfam family: Eukaryotic small subunit ribosomal RNA
Source: RNAcentral